RNAcentral lists this ribosomal RNA (650 nucleotides) under uncultured marine bacterium. RNAcentral describes it as "bacterial SSU rRNA". It matches the Rfam family "Bacterial small subunit ribosomal RNA", at positions 76 to 723 of the family's 1533-position model. The record is from RNAcentral.
CACUUCGGUGUGAGUAAAGCGGCGGACGGGUGAGUAACGCGUAGGAAUCUACCUAGUAGUGGGGGACAACUCGGGGAAACUCGAGCUAAUACCGCAUACGCCCUACGGGGGAAAGCGGGGGACCUUCGGGCCUCGCGCUAUUAGAUGAGCCUGCGUUGGAUUAGCUAGUUGGUGGGGUAAUGGCCUACCAAGGCGACGAUCCAUAGCUGGUCUGAGAGGAUGAUCAGCCACACCGGGACUGAGACACGGCCCGGACUCCUACGGGAGGCAGCAGUGGGGAAUAUUGCGCAAUGGGCGAAAGCCUGACGCAGCCAUGCCGCGUGUGUGAAGAAGGCCUUCGGGUUGUAAAGCACUUUCAAUUGGGAGGAAAGGUUCACGACUAAUACUCGUGAGCUGUGACGUUACCUUUAGAAGAAGCACCGGCUAACUCCGUGCCAGCAGCCGCGGUAAUACGGAGGGUGCAAGCGUUAAUCGGAAUUACUGGGCGUAAAGCGCGCGUAGGUGGUCUGUUAAGUCGGAUGUGAAAGCCCCGGGCUCAACCUGGGAACUGCAUCCGAUACUGGCAGACUAGAGUGCGGGAGAGGGAGGUAGAAUUCCACGUGUAGCGGUGAAAUGCGUAGAUAUGUGGAGGAAUACCAGUGGCGAAGGCG